AGAGUUUGAUCAUGGCUCAGAUUGAACGCUGGCGGCAUGCCUUACACAUGCAAGUCGAGCGGCAGCGCGGGGGCAACCCUGGCGGCGAGCGGCGAACGGGUGAGUAAUACAUCGGAACGUGUCCUGUAGUGGGGGAUAACCAGUCGAAAGAUUGGCUAAUACCGCAUACGAUCUACGGAUGAAAGCGGGGGACCGCAAGGCCUCGCGCUGUUGGAGCGGCCGAUGUCGGAUUAGCUAGUUGGCGGGGUAAAAGCCCACCAAGGCGACGAUCCGUAGCUGGUCUGAGAGGACGAUCAGCCACACUGGAACUGAGACACGGUCCAGACUCCUACGGGAGGCAGCAGUGGGGAAUUUUGGACAAUGGGCGCAAGCCUGAUCCAGCCAUGCCGCGUGAGUGAAGAAGGCCUUCGGGUUGUAAAGCUCUUUCGGCGGGGACGAAAUGGUUCGUGCCAACACCACGAACUGAUGACGGUACUCGUAGAAGA
This 485-nucleotide ribosomal RNA is filed under the name uncultured Thiobacter sp. Its description in RNAcentral is "bacterial SSU rRNA". It matches the Rfam family "Bacterial small subunit ribosomal RNA", at positions 8 to 488 of the family's 1533-position model. The record is from RNAcentral. Lineage: Bacteria; Pseudomonadati; Pseudomonadota; Betaproteobacteria; Burkholderiales; Thiobacteraceae.